CAAGCGUUAUCCGGAUUCACUGGGUUUAAAGGGUGCGUAGGCGGCUUCUUAAGUCCGUGGUUAAAUCUCCAAGCUUAACUUGGAAACUGCCAUGGAUACUAUUAGUCUUGAAUGUUGUGGAGGUUAGCGGAAUAUGUCAGGUAGCGGUGAAAUGCAUAGAUAUGACAUAGAACACCAAUGGCGAAGGCAGCUGGCUACACAAAUAUUGACGCUGAGGCACGAAAGCGGGGGGAGCAAACAGG
RNAcentral lists this ribosomal RNA (242 nucleotides) under uncultured bacterium. RNAcentral's name for it is "partial 16S ribosomal RNA". It matches the Rfam family "Bacterial small subunit ribosomal RNA", at positions 535 to 776 of the family's 1533-position model. The record is from RNAcentral.